Molecule: long non-coding RNA, 632 nt
Filed under: Homo sapiens (human)
Lineage: Eukaryota; Metazoa; Chordata; Mammalia; Primates; Hominidae
Description: HSALNT0351891
Source: RNAcentral
GGAAGCAGGGAAGAUGGAUAAGAGACUCCCACAAUAAUCCAGGCAAGAGAUGAAGGAGUCUUGGUCCAGGAUGGUAACAGUGGAGGGGAAUGAUUAUUUCGGACUCUGAGUCUUGGAUGGUCGUCUCUACAAGCUCCCAAAGGAAAACACCCAUGUGGUUUUUGCCUGCUUGAGGUAAAUACCACCUUAGGCCAACUACCCCAUCUGUAAACUGGGAAUAACACCAGAUUGCAGGGAUGUUGAGGAGGGUUAAUUAUAUACAGAGUGUCUAAGGGUUGAGCAGAUACACAAGUGCUCUGGAAGUUCUUGGCAUAAUACUAUAGCAUUACAAUAAUUCUGGCUUGCAAAUUAUACCCCAGCAGAGGUAUCACAUGGAAAAGUGGAUCCGACUCUACGGCCUGAUGAAAGUGACAUGGAAAAAAUAAGUUAUGAAAUAUAACUUCUCUUCCUGAACUUUUGGAAAAGGCAGAGAUAACCUUUCCAUGUGCAAGACACAUGCAGGGAGCAAGCUUCCAGAUUCUGGUUUUCUACUGGGGCCUCCUUACGUGCAAGAUAAUUAAGUGCCAAUGCGACAGAGGAACAAUUUAAAGGGCUGGAGUGAAGUGGUGUGAUCUCGGCUCACUGCAACCUCU